CGAUGAGACACCCCUAAUGUAUUGAGCCAGACGGGGCUAAAUGCCUUAUUUCGACUGACAGUUGCAGUAUGGGAAUCUGUAGUUGGCCAUUGCAGCACCAUGGACAGCAACAGCUGCACUGAGGAAUACAAACAGUUGGAGCCAGGAGACUUAAUAGUUGGAUCAAUGACGUGAACAUGAGUUCCAUCAACGGCUCCAACAACUCCAGGAAAGCCCACAAUCCUCAUAAAAGUGGCUUGUUUUUGCAGCAUGGUUUGACAGUCAGUUGGAAGGUUAAUGAACUGUCAUAUAGUAGUGGCCAAAAUUUAUGUCCGGCCUAUGAAAUUUGACAUCUUCACCCUUAUUUAAUAAAA
Long non-coding RNA from Sinocyclocheilus grahami, 353 nucleotides. RefSeq lists it as uncharacterized. The record is from RefSeq and is a predicted model, not a curated record. Lineage: Eukaryota; Metazoa; Chordata; Actinopteri; Cypriniformes; Cyprinidae. The transcript has 3 exons.